UGGGGAAUAUUGGACAAUGGGCGAAAGCCUGAUCCAGCCAUGCCGCGUGUGUGAAGAAGGUCUUCGGAUUGUAAAGCACUUUAAGUUGGGAGGAAGGGCAUUAACCUAAUACGUUAGUGUUUUGACGUUACCGACAGAAUAAGCACCGGCUAACUCUGUGCCAGCAGCCGCGGUAAUACAGAGGGUGCAAGCGUUAAUCGGAAUUACUGGGCGUAAAGCGCGCGUAGGUGGUUUGUUAAGUUGGAUGUGAAAUCCCCGGGCUCACUCUGGGAACUGCAUUCAAAACUGACUGACUAGAGUAUGGUAGAGGGUGGUGGAAUUUCCUGUGUAGCGGUGAAAUGCGUAGAUAUAGGAAGGAACACCAGUGGCGAAGGCGACCACAUGGACUAAUACUGACACUGAGGUGCGAAAGCGUGGGGAGCAAACA
This 427-nucleotide ribosomal RNA is filed under the name uncultured bacterium. RNAcentral describes it as "partial 16S ribosomal RNA". It matches the Rfam family "Bacterial small subunit ribosomal RNA", at positions 355 to 774 of the family's 1533-position model. The record is from RNAcentral.